CUCAGUUCGGAUUGGAGUCUGCAACCCGACUCCAUGAAGCUGGAUUCGCUAGUAAUCGCGCAUCAGCCACGGCGCGGUGAAUACGUUCCCGGGCCUUGUACACACCGCCCGUCAAGCCACGGAAGCCGGGAGUGCCUGAAGUGCGUGAGCGCAAGCAGCGCCCUAAGGUAAAACCGGUGACUGGGGCUAAGUCGUAACAAGGUAAC
Molecule: ribosomal RNA, 206 nt
Filed under: uncultured bacterium
Lineage: Bacteria
Description: partial 16S ribosomal RNA
Rfam family: Bacterial small subunit ribosomal RNA
Source: RNAcentral